This 827-nucleotide unclassified non-coding RNA is filed under the name Hevea brasiliensis (rubber tree). Lineage: Eukaryota; Viridiplantae; Streptophyta; Magnoliopsida; Malpighiales; Euphorbiaceae. The record is from RNAcentral.
UUAAAAAAAAAAAAAAAAUUUGAAAAGUUAAAAGCAUAAGAUACAACGUGCAAGGUUUAUGAUGUAGAAAUUAACCAUUAAUUGUCAUUUUAUCUUUUUAGUAUCCCAUACUACUGUUAUUUCAUUUGAUGUUUCUUGCAAUCACAAUGCAUAUUCAUGACUUAGUUAUAGAAGUGCACUAGGAUUUCCAAUUCAUCAGCAGCUUAUGGCAAAGGGCUUGAAAAUAAUGUUUUUCUAAAAAUGGUUCAAUUUCUUUCUGGCUUUAACUAACCAUCUGUUGGUUCCUUCUAACUGGAAUUUUUUUUGUAAUUCAUUAAUCAAUGAUCAGUUUGUUCACUAUGCAUUCUCUUUACUUUGGUGCAUUUGUCAAAUUAUCUAGAUCUUUGGUUACUAGUUCUCAUCCUGGUUUAAUUUUUAACUUUGCAUAGCAAAUAUAUCUAGUUAUUAUGAUAUCCUUACAAUUUUUGGUCUGUGCAGAUAUUCCCUUGAGUGCGAGAGAUAUUUUGGAGGAUCCUGAGCUGAAAAUUGCUGUAAAAUCCUUCAGGUAAGUUACAUUCAGCGUAUUGUAACUCUAUGGUCUGUUAAGGCUUGUUAUUAACUACUAUCAGAAUCUCUUAUUGUAAAUUUCUUUGGUGCCCCUAGUGGUUAGCUGGAUAAACUGCAGUAAUUAACAGCAUUAAGCAUUCUCCGACUAAAGAGUUGUCAAUAUGAUGUAAUCUAUGGACAUCUGUUCCUACGCUUACAAUUUCUGUACAUGGAUGGUAGUAUUACUAUCACCGUGAUCAAUGACCUCCCUGCAAGCCCCUACCCCCACCAAAAAAAAAAAG